This 409-nucleotide ribosomal RNA is filed under the name Neoseiulella litoralis. RNAcentral's name for it is "partial 12S ribosomal RNA". Lineage: Eukaryota; Metazoa; Arthropoda; Arachnida; Mesostigmata; Phytoseiidae. The record is from RNAcentral.
GGAUUAGAUACCCUGUUAUUAAGCCGACCCAGGUUUAGUAGUAGGUGUUAUUCAUGAAACUAAAAGAUAUUGGCGGCACUUUAAAACCUCUUAGAGGAAUCUAUUCUGUAAAGGAUCUGACACCAAAAUCUUACCUUCCCUAGUUUAACAGUUUGUAUACCCCUAUGCACAAUCACAUUGUUAGUGUGGUUAAAAUUCUAAUUAGAAGUUUUUUAGGCCAAGGUGCAGCUAAUGGGAAGGGUUGAAAUAGAUUAUAAUUAACUAGCGUUUAACAAGUCUUUGGUUGUAACGUCGGGGGCUAGACAGAUUUAAAAGUAAAGCUUUCAAAGAGAGUUAGCUUGAAUGUGGGAAUUGGGUGUGUACAUAUUGCCCGUCACUCUCUUCUCGGAGAUAAGUCGAAACAUAGUAA